GACGAACGCUGGCGGCGUGCUUAACACAUGCAAGUCGAACGGAAAGGCCCUGCUUUUGUGGGGUGCUCGAGUGGCGAACGGGUGAGUAACGCGUGAGUAACCUGCCCUUAACUUUGGGAUAACUUCAGGAAACUGGGGCUAAUACCGGAUAGGAGCUCCUGCUGCAUGGUGGGGGUUGGAAAGUUUCGGCGGUUGGGGAUGGACUCGCGGCUUAUCAGCUUGUUGGUGGGGUAGUGGCUUACCAAGGCUUUGACGGGUAGCCGGCCUGAGAGGGUGACCGGCCACAUUGGGACUGAGAUACGGCCCAGACUCCUACGGGAGGCAGCAGUGGGGAAUAUUGCACAAUGGGCGGAAGCCUGAUGCAGCAACGCCGCGUGCGGGAUGACGGCCUUCGGGUUGUAAACCGCUUUCGCCUGUGACGAAGCGUGAGUGACGGUAAUGGGUAAAGAAGCACCGGCUAACUACGUG
RNAcentral lists this ribosomal RNA (468 nucleotides) under uncultured bacterium. Its description in RNAcentral is "partial 16S ribosomal RNA". It matches the Rfam family "Bacterial small subunit ribosomal RNA", at positions 28 to 507 of the family's 1533-position model. The record is from RNAcentral.